RNAcentral lists this non-coding RNA (110 nucleotides) under Bordetella sp. RNAcentral describes it as "Glycine sequence". It matches the Rfam family "Glycine riboswitch aptamer". From Rfam's summary of the family: This family represents the bacterial glycine riboswitch. Glycine riboswitches usually consist of two metabolite-binding aptamers domains with similar structures in tandem. The record is from RNAcentral. Lineage: Bacteria; Pseudomonadati; Pseudomonadota; Betaproteobacteria; Burkholderiales; Alcaligenaceae.
AACCAAACAACUGGAGAGCGUCGCGCCCUGAACCGGCGCGGCCGCCGAAGGGGCAAGCGGCGCCGACCGGCGCGCGCGAAUCUCUCAGGCAAAAGGACAGUAGGGGCAAG